GACGAACGCUGGCGGCGUGCUUUACACAUGCAAGUCGAACGGAAAGGCCCUGCUUGUGUGGGUUGCUCGUGUGGCGAACGGGUGAGUAACACGUGAGUAACCUUCCCUGUACUGUGGGAUAACUUCAGGAUACUGGUGCUAAUACCUGAUAUGAGCUCCGGCAGCAUGGUGGUGGUUGGAACUUUUGGGCGGUUGGGGAUGGACGCGCGGCUUAUCAGCUUGUUGGUGGGGUAGUUGCUGACCAAGGCUUUGAAGGGUAGCCGGCCUGGGAGGGUGACCGGGGUCCUUGGGCCUGCGAGAGGGAGCAGACGCGUAUGGGAGGCAGCAGGGGGAAACAUUGCACAAUGGGGCGAAGCAUGAUACAGAAACGCUGCGUGCGGGAAGACGUCCCUGGGGGUGUAAAACGGCUUAGCCUGUGACGAAGUGUGAGUGACGGUAAUGGGUAAAGAAGCACCGGCUAACUACGUG
Molecule: ribosomal RNA, 468 nt
Filed under: uncultured bacterium
Lineage: Bacteria
Description: partial 16S ribosomal RNA
Rfam family: Bacterial small subunit ribosomal RNA
Source: RNAcentral